UACAGAGGGUGCAAGCGUUAAUCGGAAUUACUGGGCGUAAAGCGCGCGUAGGUGGUUCGUUAAGUUGGAUGUGAAAGCCCCGGGCUCAACCUGGGAACUGCAUCCAAAACUGGCGAGCUAGAGUACGGUAGAGGGUGGUGGAAUUUCCUGUGUAGCGGUGAAAUGCGUAGAUAUAGGAAGGAACACCAGUGGCGAAGGCGACCACCUGGACUGAUACUGACACUGAGGUGCGAAAGCGUGGGGAGCGAACAGG
RNAcentral lists this ribosomal RNA (253 nucleotides) under uncultured bacterium. RNAcentral describes it as "partial 16S ribosomal RNA". It matches the Rfam family "Bacterial small subunit ribosomal RNA", at positions 524 to 776 of the family's 1533-position model. The record is from RNAcentral.